Molecule: unclassified non-coding RNA, 250 nt
Filed under: plant metagenome
Description: partial contains small subunit ribosomal RNA, internal transcribed spacer 1, and 5.8S ribosomal RNA
Source: RNAcentral
GUAGGUGAACCUGCGGAAGGAUCAUUAACACAUCCCAAAAACAUAUCCAAUUUCCUUUGGAUAUUAACCCCCCACUAUAAGUGAACUUUGUUAGGAGGUGCAUCAUAGCUAGCUUGUAUGCAUUAAUCGUGUGUGCAAGUGGGUUCCCUGACCGCCUCCGCUUUUUUUUCUUUUUUUUUAAACAAAAACCCAAUUGAACUUUCGACUGAACCUUUUUUUUUUUGUAUUGAAAAAUACGAAAAAAAUAAAU